UUGUCGACUUGCGGGUGCUUUAAUGGCUGAGAGUUGGUUGAGACACCGUUUGAACCUGAACAUGGUAAUGCAUGCGAAGGGAAAGUUGGCAAGAUGUGG
RNAcentral lists this non-coding RNA (99 nucleotides) under Thalassiosira oceanica. Its description in RNAcentral is "TPP sequence". It matches the Rfam family "TPP riboswitch aptamer (THI element)". From Rfam's summary of the family: Vitamin B(1) in its active form thiamin pyrophosphate (TPP) is an essential coenzyme that is synthesised by coupling of pyrimidine and thiazole moieties in bacteria. The record is from Rfam by way of RNAcentral. Lineage: Eukaryota; Bacillariophyta; Thalassiosirophyceae; Thalassiosirales; Thalassiosiraceae.